CAUAAAUAAACUUUAUUAGUGAGUAUUUCUUUUACAUAGAAAAGGUAAUUGUGCAAAUCAAUUAUUUAUGA
RNAcentral lists this transfer RNA (71 nucleotides) under Rhyacophila quadrifida. RNAcentral describes it as "tRNA-Val". Lineage: Eukaryota; Metazoa; Arthropoda; Insecta; Trichoptera; Rhyacophilidae. The record is from RNAcentral.